UUGGCCACUUAUAGGAGGUCCCUAAAGCUA
Molecule: non-coding RNA, 30 nt
Filed under: Homo sapiens (human)
Lineage: Eukaryota; Metazoa; Chordata; Mammalia; Primates; Hominidae
Source: RNAcentral